RNAcentral lists this ribosomal RNA (500 nucleotides) under uncultured bacterium. Its description in RNAcentral is "partial 16S ribosomal RNA". It matches the Rfam family "Bacterial small subunit ribosomal RNA", at positions 899 to 1397 of the family's 1533-position model. The record is from RNAcentral.
ACUCAAAGGAAUUGACGGGGGCCCGCACAAGCGGUGGAGCAUGUGGUUUAAUUCGACGCAACGCGAAGAACCUUACCCAGACUUGACAUUGAUGGAAUCCCCUUGAAAGAGGGGAGUACUCUUCGGAGACCUGAAAACAGGUGCUGCAUGGCUGUCGUCAGCUCGUGUCGUGAGAUGUUGGGUUAAGUCCCGCAACGAGCGCAACCCUUGUCGUUAGUUGCCAUCGGGUCAUGCCGGGCACUCUAGCGAGACUGCCGGUGUUAAACCGGAGGAAGGUGGGGAUGACGUCAAGUCCUCAUGGCCUUUAUGUCUGGGGCUACACACGUGCUACAAUGGCAUCUACAAACUGACGCGAACUCGUGAGAGGGUGCAAAUCGGAAAAAAGAUGUCUCAGUUCGGAUCGAAGUCUGCAACUCGACUUCGUGAAGUCGGAAUCGCUAGUAAUCGUGGAUCAGCAUGCCACGGUGAAUACGUUCCCGGGCCUUGUACACACCGCCCGU